RNAcentral lists this ribosomal RNA (460 nucleotides) under uncultured bacterium. RNAcentral describes it as "partial 16S ribosomal RNA". It matches the Rfam family "Bacterial small subunit ribosomal RNA", at positions 338 to 795 of the family's 1533-position model. The record is from RNAcentral.
CCUACGGGAGGCAGCAGUGGGGAAUAUUGGUCAAUGGACGAAAGUCUGAACCAGCCAAGUCGCGUGAAGGAUGACUGCCCUAUGUGUUGUAAACUUCUUUUAUAAAGGAAUAAAACGAGGCACGUGUGCCUGUUUGCAUGUACUUUAUGAAUAAGGAUCGGCUAACUCCGUGCCAGCAGCCGCGGUAAUACGGAGGAUCCGAGCGUUAUCCGGAUUUAGUGGGUUUAAGGGGAGCGUAGAUGGGUUGUUAGGUCAGUUGUGAAAGUUUGCGGCUCAACCGUAAAAUUGCAAUUGAUACUGGCAGUCUUGAGUACAGUUGAGGUAGGCGGAAUUCGUGGUGUAGCGGUGAAAUGCUUAGAUAUCACGAAGAACCCCGAUUGCGAAGGCAGCUUACUAAACUGUGACUGACAUUGAUGCUCGAAAGUGUGGGUAUCAAACAGGAUUAGAUACCCUUGUAGUC